CAGUAGCCGCGGUAAUACGGAGGGUGCAAGCGUUAAUCGGAAUUACUGGGCGUAAAGCGCACGCAGGCGGUCUGACAAGUCAGAUGUGAAAUCCCCGGGCUUAACCUGGGAACUGCAUUUGAAACUGUCAGGCCGGAGUCUUGUAGAGGGGGGUGGAAUUCCAGGUGUAGCGGUGAAAUGCGUAGAGAUCUGGAGGAAUACCGGUGGCGAAGGCGGCCCCCUGGACAAAGACUGACGCUCAGGUGCGAAAGCGUGGGGAGCAAACAGGAUUAGAUACCCGUGUAGUCCCUGUCUCUUAUAA
RNAcentral lists this ribosomal RNA (301 nucleotides) under uncultured bacterium. Its description in RNAcentral is "partial 16S ribosomal RNA". It matches the Rfam family "Bacterial small subunit ribosomal RNA", at positions 509 to 809 of the family's 1533-position model. The record is from RNAcentral.